ACGGGGGGGGCAAGCGUUGUUCGGAAUUACUGGGCGUAAAGGGUCUGUAGGUGGCUUGCUAAGUCAGACGUGAAAUCCCUCAGCUUAACUGGGGAACUGCGUCUGAGACUGGCGAGCUUGAGUGCAGGAGAGGAACGCGGAAUUCCAGGUGUAACGGUGAAAUGCGUAGAUAUCUGGAGGAACACCGGUGGCGAAGGCGGCGUUCUGGACUGUAACUGACACUGAGAGACGGAAGCCAGGGGAGCAAACGGGA
Molecule: ribosomal RNA, 253 nt
Filed under: uncultured prokaryote
Description: partial 16S ribosomal RNA
Rfam family: Bacterial small subunit ribosomal RNA
Source: RNAcentral